This 253-nucleotide ribosomal RNA is filed under the name uncultured bacterium. RNAcentral describes it as "partial 16S ribosomal RNA". It matches the Rfam family "Bacterial small subunit ribosomal RNA", at positions 524 to 776 of the family's 1533-position model. The record is from RNAcentral.
UACGGAGGUCCCAAGCGUUGUUCGGAUUCAUUGGGCGUAAAGGGUGCGUAGGCGGCGAGGUAAGUCGGAUGUGAAAUCCCGGGGCUCAACCCCGGAACUGCAUUCGAUACUGCUUUGCUUGAGUACUGGAGAGGAGACUGGAAUUUACGGUGUAGCAGUGAAAUGCGUAGAUAUCGUAAGGAAGACCAGUGGCGAAGGCGAGUCUCUGGACAGUUACUGGCGCUGAGGCACGAAGGCCAGGGGAGCAAACGGG